GACGAACGCUGGCGGCGUGCUUAACACAUGCAAGUCGAACGGAAAGGCCCUGCUUUUGUGGGGUGCUCGAGUGGCGAACGGGUGAGUAACACGUGAGUAACCUGCCCUUGACUUUGGGAUAACUUCAGGAAACUGGGGCUAAUACCGGAUAGGAGCUCCUGCUGCAUGGUGGGGGUUGGAAAGUUUCGGCGGUUGGGGAUGGACUCGCGGCUUAUCAGCUUGUUGGUGGGGUAGUGGCUUACCAAGGCUUUGACGGGUAGCCGGCCUGAGAGGGUGACCGGCCACAUUGGUACUGAGAGACGGACCAGACUCCUACGGGAGGCAGCAGUGGGGAAUAUUGCGCAAUGGGCGGAAGCCUGAUGCAGCAACGCCGCGUGCGGAAAGACGUGCUUCGGGUGGUAAACCGCUUUCGCCUGUGACGAAGCGUGAGUGACGGUAAUGGGUAAAGAAGCACCGGCUAACUACGUG
Molecule: ribosomal RNA, 468 nt
Filed under: uncultured bacterium
Lineage: Bacteria
Description: partial 16S ribosomal RNA
Rfam family: Bacterial small subunit ribosomal RNA
Source: RNAcentral